Molecule: ribosomal RNA, 785 nt
Filed under: uncultured bacterium
Lineage: Bacteria
Description: bacterial SSU rRNA
Rfam family: Bacterial small subunit ribosomal RNA
Source: RNAcentral
GUAACGCUGGCGGCGUGCUUAACACAUGCAAGUCGAGCGAGAAAUUUUAAAUUAAUUCUUCGGAUGAUUUUUAAAAUGGAAAGCGGCGGACGGGUGAGUAACGCGUAGGCAACCUGCAUCAUACAAAGGGAUAGCAUCUGGAAACGGAUAUUAAUACCUUAUGACACCUUAGGUUCACAUGAACUCUAGGUCAAAGAUUUAUCGGUAUGAGAUGGGCCUGCGUCUGAUUAGCUAGUUGGUAGGGUAACGGCCUACCAAGGCGACGAUCAGUAGCCGACCUGAGAGGGUGAUCGGCCACACUGGAACUGAGACACGGUCCAGACUCCUACGGGAGGCAGCAGUGGGGAAUAUUGCACAAUGGGCGCAAGCCUGAUGCAGCAACGCCGCGUGAGUGAUGAAGGCCUUAGGGUCGUAAAACUCUGUCCUAAGGGAAGAAUAAAUGACGGUACCUUAGGAGGAAGCCCCGGCUAACUACGUGCCAGCAGCCGCGGUAAUACGUAGGGGGCAAGCGUUAUCCGGAAUUAUUGGGCGUAAAGAGUACGUAGGUGGUUUUACAAGCCUUGGGUUAAAGGCUAUGGCUCAACCAUAGUAAGCCUAAGGAACUGUAAGACUUGAGUGCAGGAGAGGUAAGUGGAAUUCCUAGUGUAGCGGUGAAAUGCGUAGAUAUUAGGAGGAACACCAGUGGCGAAGGCGACUUACUGGACUGUUACUGACACUGAGGUACGAAAGCGUGGGGAGCAAACAGGAUUAGAUACCCUGGUAGUCCACGCCGUAAACGAUGAGCA